This 495-nucleotide ribosomal RNA is filed under the name uncultured bacterium. Its description in RNAcentral is "partial 16S ribosomal RNA". It matches the Rfam family "Bacterial small subunit ribosomal RNA", at positions 28 to 507 of the family's 1533-position model. The record is from RNAcentral.
GACGAACGCUGGCGGCGUGCCUAAUACAUGCAAGUAGAACGCUGAAGGAGGAGCUUGCUUCUCUGGAUGAGUUGCGAACGGGUGAGUAACGCGUAGGUAACCUGCCUGGUAGCGGGGGAUAACUAUUGGAAACGAUAGCUAAUACCGCAUAAUAGCAGUUGUUGCAUGACAACUGUUUGAAAGGUGCAAUUUCACCACUACCAGAUGGACCUGCGUCGUAUUAGCUAGUUGGUGGGGUAACGGCUCACCAAGGCGACGAUACAUAGCCGACCUGAGAGGGUGAUCGGCCACACUGAGACUGAGUCACGGCCCAGACUCCUACGAGAGGCAGCAGUAGGGAAUCUUCGGCAAUGGACGGAAGUCUGACCGAGCAACGCCGCGGGAGUGAAGAAGGUGUUCGGAUCGUAAAGAUCUGUUGUAAGAGAAGAACGAGUGUGAGAGUGGAAAGUUCACACUGUGACGGUAUCUUACCAGAAAGGGACGGCUAACUACGUG